This 850-nucleotide ribosomal RNA is filed under the name uncultured bacterium. Its description in RNAcentral is "bacterial SSU rRNA". It matches the Rfam family "Bacterial small subunit ribosomal RNA", at positions 51 to 899 of the family's 1533-position model. The record is from RNAcentral.
CUUCCUGCAGUCGACGGGGGUAGCAAUACCCUAGUGGCGAACGGGUGAGUAAAGCAUCGGAACGUACCCAGUCGUGGGGGAUAACGUAGCGAAAGUUACCUCUAAUACCGCAUACGAUCUGAGGAUGAAAGCAGGGGACUCGCAAGAGCCUUGCGCGAUUGGAGCGGCCGAUGUCGGAUUAGCUAGUUGGUGGGGUAAAAGCCUACCAAGGCGACGAUCCGUAGCUGGUCUGAGAGGAUGAUCAGCCACACUGGGACUGAGACACGGCCCAGACUCCUACGGGAGGCAGCAGUGGGGAAUUUUGGACAAUGGGGGAAACCCUGAUCCAGCCAUGCCGCGUGAGUGAAGAAGGCCUUCGGGUUGUAAAGCUCUUUCAGACGGAAAGAAAUGGUCUUGGCUAAUACCCGAGAUCGAUGACGGUACCAUAAGAAGAAGCACCGGCUAACUACGUGCCAGCAGCCGCGGUAAUACGUAGGGUGCGAGCGUUAAUCGGAAUUACUGGGCGUAAAGCGUGCGCAGGCGGUUGCAUAAGACAGAUGUGAAAUCCCCGGGCUUAACCUGGGAACUGCGUUUGUGACUGUGCGACUGGAGUACGGCAGAGGGGGGUGGAAUUCCUGGUGUAGCAGUGAAAUGCGUAGAUAUCAGGAGGAACAUCGAUGGCGAAGGCAGCCCCCUGGGCCUGUACUGACGCUCAUGCACGAAAGCGUGGGGAGCAAACAGGAUNAGAUACCCUGGUAGUCCACGCCCCUAAACGAUGUCGACUAGUUGUUCGGGAAGGUGACUUUCUUGAGUAACGUAGCUAACGCGUGAAGUUCGACCGCCUGGGGAGUUCGGGCCCCCAAGGUUAAAA